GAAAUGCGAUAAGUAAUGUGAAUUGCAGAAUUCAGUGAAUCAUCGAAUCUUUGAACGCACCUUGCGCCCUUUGGCCAUUCCAAGGAGCAUGCCUGUUUGAGUGUCAUUGAAUCCUCAAGGGCCCCCCCCUCGGCGGGGGGGAAACUUGGACUUGGGAGCGCUGCGGCGCCGGGCUCUCUCCGGCUCCGCUCUCCUCAAAGGCAUCAGUAGGGCCCCUCGUCCCUUCGGGUCUUCGCGGCGUUGAUAGUCGUCUACGCCCCCUGCCCCCGUCGGGUCUCACCUGCUCCUGAACACACCCCCGACCGACCGACGGUCGUCUUCCUUUGACCUCAAAUCAGGUAGGACUACCCGCUGAACUUAAGC
This 363-nucleotide unclassified non-coding RNA is filed under the name plant metagenome. RNAcentral describes it as "partial contains 5.8S ribosomal RNA, internal transcribed spacer 2, and large subunit ribosomal RNA". The stretch from base 1 to 106 matches the Rfam family "5.8S ribosomal RNA", at positions 50 to 154 of the family's 154-position model. The record is from RNAcentral.